Salvelinus fontinalis (brook trout) is the source of this 135-nucleotide long non-coding RNA. RefSeq lists it as uncharacterized. The transcript is spliced from 3 exons. The record is from RefSeq and is a predicted model, not a curated record. NCBI's taxonomy places the organism in Eukaryota, Metazoa, Chordata, Actinopteri, Salmoniformes, Salmonidae.
AGGUAGGGGUCAGGUAGGUAGGUAGGGGUCAGGUAGGUAGGUAGGGGUCAGGUAGGUAGGUAGGGGUCAGGUAGGUAGGUAGGGGUCAGGUAGGUAGGUAGGGGUCAGGUAGGUAGGGAGGGAGGGGUCAGGGAG